CAGCACCACCAUGUUUUAGUUGUAUUUGGUAGCUAUGUUGAUCUGAGAUGAUAAAAAAAUGCAAAACUCUAGAACUCUUGGUUCAGAGAUGAUACCUUUUAUUAGACCAACUAA
This is a long non-coding RNA of Gavialis gangeticus (Gharial), 114 nucleotides long. RefSeq lists it as uncharacterized. NCBI's taxonomy places the organism in Eukaryota, Metazoa, Chordata, Crocodylia, Gavialidae. The transcript has 3 exons. The record is from RefSeq and is a predicted model, not a curated record.